AUGGAUGGCCCAACCAUCUUCCAUCUUGACUUUGUGCAAAUCCUCGAGGAGGUAGCCGAUUAUUUUCACCUAGAGCCACGAGUGAUCUCUACUAGCAGUAGCGGCGGCAGAAAUAACCCAAGACCCAGGCAGCCUUUGGGACACUGUAGCACUGUAGCUACAGUCUACAAAGGAAAUGCAACUCACGCCCAGGCAGCAGCCCGGGCUGCCUGGGGCCUGUCUUCGCCACUGUCUCCUAGUGCUCUUCGGAUGGCUAUGGCGAGGAUGACCCCGGUGCACAUGCAAGUCACUCCACAUGACCCCGGUGCAUACACUACCUUCUAUGGCUAUGGCGAGGAUGAUCAUGAAGCUGGGUUCUCGGUGGCUCAUGAAGCGCUUAAAUCGCUCUACUUUAGUCUGAACUUUGGCCUAGUGGACUUGCACACCUAUGAGUACUGGGAGAAUUUGCUGGACUUGGCACGUUCUGAGUAG
This 471-nucleotide ribosomal RNA is filed under the name Triticum aestivum (bread wheat). RNAcentral's name for it is "partial small subunit ribosomal RNA". Lineage: Eukaryota; Viridiplantae; Streptophyta; Magnoliopsida; Poales; Poaceae. The record is from RNAcentral.